Non-coding RNA from Caenorhabditis elegans, 73 nucleotides. The record is from Ensembl. Lineage: Eukaryota; Metazoa; Nematoda; Chromadorea; Rhabditida; Rhabditidae.
UAAGGCGAUGGACUGCUAAUCCAUUGGGAUUUUCCCGCGUGAGUUCGAAUCUCAUCCUGAUCGAAUAUUUUUU